Molecule: unclassified non-coding RNA, 288 nt
Organism: Ictidomys tridecemlineatus (thirteen-lined ground squirrel)
Lineage: Eukaryota; Metazoa; Chordata; Mammalia; Rodentia; Sciuridae
Gene: 7SK
Rfam family: 7SK RNA
About the family: 7SK was discovered as an abundant small nuclear RNA in the mid-70s but a possible function has only recently been suggested. Two independent studies have found that 7SK RNA binds the CDK9/cyclin T complex (known as elongation factor P-TEFb).
Source: Ensembl
GGAUGUGAGGGUAAUCUGGCUGCAGACGGCUGUCACCCAGUUUAUUUGCCAGGGUUGCUUAGGCUGGAGAGUGUCAAUUUCCUUCCUCAGUGUUUCCUCCCAAAGCUGAAAUGUUACUAAAGAGGGACCAUUCCUGAUGAAAACCACUUUCCUGGCAAUGGUGUAGGAGUAGCAUACUCCCUGCUAGGACCCCUAAACAAGCUCUCUGGUCCACUGGCAACAUAACAUACGGUCUUCAAGCUUCCAGGAUCCAAAAGAUGUGGUGCAUGUGGUAGCAUACCUAUCUUU